Molecule: ribosomal RNA, 495 nt
Filed under: uncultured bacterium
Lineage: Bacteria
Description: bacterial SSU rRNA
Rfam family: Bacterial small subunit ribosomal RNA
Source: RNAcentral
ACGAACGCUGGCGGCGUGCCUAACACAUGCAAGUCGAGCGGUUCAUUGUGUAACACUGUGUACAUCGGAAGGUGUGCAGAGUGUUACACAAUGGAUAGCGGCGGACGGGUGAGUAACGCGUGAGUAAUCUGCCUUGUACAGGGGGAUAACACAGGGAAACUUGUGCUAAUACCGCAUAAAGUAGAGGUGUGGCAUCACACAAUUACCAAAGGAGAAAUCCGGUAUAAGAUGAACUCGCGUCCGAUUAGCUAGUUGGUGGGGUAAAGGCCUACCAAGGCGACGAUCGGUAGCCGAACUGAGAGGUUGAUCGGCCACAUUGGGACUGAGACACGGCCCAGACUCCUACGGGAGGCAGCAGUGGGGAAUAUUGCGCAAUGGGGGAAACCCUGACGCAGCAACGCCGCGUGAAGGAUGAAGGUCUUCGGAUUGUAAACUUCUUUGAUGAGGGAAGAAAAAAUGACGGUACCUCAAAAACAAGCCACGGCUAACUACGUG